GUAGGUGGCAAGCGUUGUCCGGGAAUUAUUGGGGCGUAAAGCGCGCGCAGGCGGCUCUUUAAGUCUGAUGUGAAAGCCCACGGGCUCAACCGUGGAGGGUCAUUGGAAACUGGAGAACUUGAGUACAGAAGAGGAAAGCGGAAUUCCACGUGUAGCGGUGAAAUGCGUAGAGAUGUGGAGGAACACCAGUGGCGAAGGCGGCUUCCUGGUCUGUAACUGACGCUGAGGCGCGAAAGCGUGGGGAGCAAACAGGAUUAGAUACCCUGGUAGUCCACGCCGUAAACGAUGAGUGCUAAGUGUUAGGGGGUUUCCGCCCCUUAGUGCUGCAGCUAACGCAUUAAGCACUCCGCCUGGGGAGUACGGCCGCAAAGGCUGA
This 376-nucleotide ribosomal RNA is filed under the name uncultured organism. Its description in RNAcentral is "partial 16S ribosomal RNA". It matches the Rfam family "Bacterial small subunit ribosomal RNA", at positions 527 to 897 of the family's 1533-position model. The record is from RNAcentral.